Molecule: ribosomal RNA, 492 nt
Filed under: uncultured bacterium
Lineage: Bacteria
Description: partial 16S ribosomal RNA
Rfam family: Bacterial small subunit ribosomal RNA
Source: RNAcentral
AGUGAACGCUGGCGGUAGGCCUAACACAUGCAAGUCGAACGGCAGCACAGUAAGAGCUUGCUCUUACGGGUGGCGAGUGGCGGACGGGUGAGGAAUACAUCGGAAUCUACUUUUUCGUGGGGGAUAACGUAGGGAAACUUACGCUAAUACCGCAUACGACCUACGGGUGAAAGCAGGGGAUCUUCGGACCUUGCGCGAUUGAAUGAGCCGAUGUCGGAUUAGCUAGUUGGCGGGGUAAAGGCCCACCAAGGCGACGAUCCGUAGCUGGUCUGAGAGGAUGAUCAGCCACACUGGAACUGAGACACGGUCCAGACUCCUACGGGAGGCAGCAGUGGGGAAUAUUGGACAAUGGGCGCAAGCCUGAUCCAGCCAUACCGCGUGGGUGAAGAAGGCCUUCGGGUUGUAAAGCACUUUUGUUGGGAAAGAAAAGCAGCAGGUUAAUACCCCGAUGUUCUGACGGUACCCAAAGAAUAAGCACCGGCUAACUUCGUG